AAAGAGAAACACCUAUGACCAUAGCCUAUUAACUUGACAGGUGGUACUUUCAAGAGGUUUUUGGAGGAGGAUCGAAGAUUUCUGCUUGGUACAAUUUACUUUACAAUCUGCAGAAACUACUAAAUGAAAUAAAAUUUGUGAAACAAAAAGAGACAAGGAAUCCGAAUAAAAAUCUGCGUUCACCACGAUCCUUCGAAACGUAACAUUGACGAGUAAGGGAUCCGCCACCCGCGCGCCCGCGGGAUAGAAUGGAAUUUACCCAGGAACAUUGUGACCGAGUGAGCUUGGGGUUGAGUCAAGAGAGAGAAAGAAAGAUGGCGGAAAAACGAGUUGUAUGGAUUGAAUGAAUUAACAUGGAAAGAAUGUUCACUUCCCGUGGAGACACAACCGAACUGUUGAAGGCUGAUGCUUUAUUGUACUUUCAAACAAUAGGGAGGACAUUCAGAUAAGACCAGGACAGGCUACAGUGAAGGAUAAUGCGGCCCGCUCAGAUGCUUGAGAAAAAAAAAAAAAAACAUAACUUAUUUUACUUGGCUGAAGAGAUGUUGGAAGAACAGCCUGGAGAACCGACCAGUUUGAUCUGUAAGCCAGGGAAGGAGAGUUCAGAUAAGAUGGAGACCAGAGCAGGUGGAAAGCAGAGGUCAUUGACAUCACUCCUUCACAGAGUAGGACCUGACUGAGAAGCAAGAUCAAGAUAUUGCUAACUCAACCAAAUGUAAGAUGUGUCCAGGCCAGGGACUAAGCCAGUCAAGACAGAAAGUGAAUGAGAUACUGGAGAGUUAAAAGUCAUAGCUCGAUUUCGGCCGCUCUCUUGAGUCUGGCCUUCUAAACUACAACAAGACUAACCAAACCAUAUGUGGAGGAUUAUUGAGGACUUGUCUGAGAACCAAGAUCAACACAUUAGCAACCCAAGCUCAAGGGAGGAUGUGUGCAAAUGAGGCUCAGACUAAGCCAGACAAAACAGAAAGUGGAUGAGAUACUGGAGAGUUAAAAACCGUCAGUGGACCUUCAUUCCUGACAAGAGGAUGACAGACACAUCCACAUCAGAAAAAGACCAUAUCAAGAUGGCCCAAAGAAAAUGGAGGAUCAUAAAACAAUGCCUUAGACAGAUGGUAUGUUGGCAGAGAUAGCAAACACUUGGAUGAGGAUGUGGACAGUGGAUCGUGGACUGUGGACCGUGGACUCUGGAGCAUGGAUUGGGGACCGUGGACCAAGGACCAAGGACCAAGGACAGAGGAUCGUGGACCAAGGACUGUGGAACAAGGACAGGGGACCAAGGACAGAGGACCAAAGACCAAGGACAGAAUGUGGACAUCAAGAACUUGCACUAAAGCUGAACAAUAUCAUGUAAAUAACAAAGGUAACAUUUUAGCUAACAAAUGUUUACCAUGAAGACAUGUACUAGAUUAUUCCUCAUUUAUUUCUUUAUUUCACACACAUGUACAUAAGUGAAAUUCAAUGAAAUUGUCAACACGGAAUCAAUACUGCUUUACAUCAAAUUAGACAAAAACUCCUUGAUUACUCAUGGUAAACAUUUGUAAUACUCUGUUUAUUGCCUAGUUACAUGUGCACCAGUGUUUCAGAUUUCAUAGUCUCCUCUGCAGUUGUUAUUUGGGGGGACUGUUACCCAAAUUGAGGAGAAAACUUGCCAGAUGAUGACUAAAAUAACUACUACAAAUAACGCUACAGAAAUUAUUGAUCUAGCUAUUUUCAAAGACUUUUUUUUAUCAUGGGGAAAAGGGAAGUUCCAGGGUUCUAGAAACAAAAUUGGAAUUAAUUUGACUUCAAUCAGUUAAAAUCCAGCAAUCAAUCAAUCAUUGGCAAUCAAUUAAUCAAACAAUCAAUGAUUUAUCGUUUUAUUUAAACACAAAACACUAAGGUGCAUCACAUGUAAAAACCUAAUAAAAGUCCACUAAUGCAUUUUGCGACUAGAAUUAGCAAUUAUUGCCUGAACAUUUUGCAGCCUACAGUUUGAAGUCUUAAACAGCCAUAUACAGUGUAUUCCAUUAAUUACAAAACACUUUUCAUAUCACUUUGUUGCACAUGUAGCUGUUGAGAUAAACAGAGUAUUGAACUGACCAGUGUGUGUUGUGUGUGCCAUCCAUUUGCAAAUAAGUGGCUUGCUUACAAAUUAGUGUUCUCUCUAGAUAGGCCUAUCUUUUGAUUUUAUUUUCGUCACAUAUUUUGCGAAAAUUGUCUCCUUCAUAGCAUCAGACUGGGCACAUUAUUUUGCUUAUAGCAAUCACCAACUUCAAAUGAAUUGAGACUCAACAAAAGCUAAAAUCUAUUUCAAUUAAUCCAAAAAAAAAAAAAGUUUUUUUUUUCAUGUGUGCAGACAGUUAAGUGUACAUAAAGAAGACUCAAAUUCAUUUAGAAAAAAGGACUAAAAAAUUUGUUCAAGAACAAACUGAAGAUUCAAAUUUGUGCAAAAAUACUCAAUUUGUUAUUAUAACAAUAACUGAAUAUUAUUGUUCAAAUCAAAAACUGAAAAAUUGAUUGAAAAAAAAAAAACUGUG
RNAcentral lists this long non-coding RNA (2516 nucleotides) under Orbicella faveolata. Its description in RNAcentral is "uncharacterized LOC110059567". Lineage: Eukaryota; Metazoa; Cnidaria; Anthozoa; Scleractinia; Merulinidae. The record is from RNAcentral.